GUAGGGGAGAGUUGGGUAAGUUGAACCAAAGAGGUAAGUUGAGACACCUUUGUUUCUAGGAAACCAUACACAAAAUUAAUACUUUUAAAUAUUUAGGAAGAGGUAUUCAUGUCAUGGAGUCUGUGAAGGAAGAAACCACAUGGAAAAAGUGUACCCACCACUGAGGCACAACCCAAAGAAUGGGCAAGGCAAUCUGGAGAUGUUUUGAGUUCGUAUUUACCCCAUGCCUCAUCAUAUUAAAUCAAGAGAAAUGAGCCAGUGUUUACCUAAUCACAUUAAUGGAUAUUUUUGUACCUCAAUAUUUGCUUUGGGACAAUUUUCUUUCACUGUAGUUUCAAAGCACCUCUUUGAAAUUCCACCCACUGCUUGUACACUAUCAUGUAAAGUGGGUUCUUGUCAUUGUUCGGGGGAGAGUGUGCAUGGGUGUCCAUAUGUGCACUGCUGAUAACCCCCGUAUUAAUAAUUCCAUCUAUUGAUAUUUAAAGUAGGCUAAUAAAUGCAGUCUAGUUUAGUGGGUACUUAAUUGUUUACUAUAGAGACGGGUUAGCUGACAACGUCACAGAAACGAUGUGCGCACUUCAAUGGGGCAAAAAGCUGUGUGUGUCACGCCUGCUCCCGCUCUCCCCCGGCGCAGCGCCAGGAUCCCCAGCAUUACGCACUCAAGCCACCAUCAGUACGCACACCUGCCUCCUCCAUGUCACGCGCAUCAGCAAUCAUUGGACUCGACGUGGGACUCAAUUACUUGUGUCAUUACCUUCCCUAUAUCUGUCCCCAAGCUGUGUUCCCUGCUUCGGGAUUGUCUCAUGUUCGUGUUACCCGUGUUCUCACGCUGUUCCUGUCUUGUUUCCAUGUCUGUUCCCGAAUAAAUGUCUGACUCCCCGUACCUGCUUCUCUUGUCUGGCGUCGGUUGUGAUUCUGGAUAGCCAGAUAGUUAGCAACAAUGACAGGAAGCUCACGGUUGCUCGUUUCAGCUAAUUUUAUCUUGUUCUUGAUACCAUGUCUUUUUUUUUACCCCCUUUUUCUCCCCAAUUUUGUGAUAUCCAAUUGUUCGUCGUUACUGUCUUGUCUCAUGACUACAACUCCC
This is a long non-coding RNA of Oncorhynchus tshawytscha (Chinook salmon), 1084 nucleotides long. Lineage: Eukaryota; Metazoa; Chordata; Actinopteri; Salmoniformes; Salmonidae. The record is from Ensembl.